Molecule: ribosomal RNA, 449 nt
Filed under: uncultured bacterium
Lineage: Bacteria
Description: partial 16S ribosomal RNA
Rfam family: Bacterial small subunit ribosomal RNA
Source: RNAcentral
AACGAACGCUGGCGGCAUGCCUAACACAUGCAAGUCGAACGGGAUCUUCGGGUCUAGUGGCGCACGGGUGCGUAACGCGUGGGAAUCUGCCCUUUGGUUCGGAAUACCAGUUGGAAACGACUGCUAAUACCGGAUGAUGACGAAGGUCCAAAGAUUUAUCGCCAGAGGAUGAGCCCGCGUAGGAUUAGCUAGUUGGUGUGGUAAAGGCGCACCAAGGCGACGAUCCUUAGCUGGUCUGAGAUGAUGAUCAGCCACACUGGGACUGAGACACGGCCCAGACUCCUACGGGAGGCAGCAGUGGGGAAUAUUGGACAAUGGGCGAAAGCCUGAUCCAGCAAUGCCGCGUGAGUGAUGAAGGCCUUAGGGUUGUAAAGCUCUUUUACCCGGGAUGAUAAUGACAGUACCGGGAGAAUAAGCUCCGGCUAACUCCGUGCCAGCAGCCGCGGUAA